This 425-nucleotide ribosomal RNA is filed under the name uncultured bacterium. Its description in RNAcentral is "bacterial SSU rRNA". It matches the Rfam family "Bacterial small subunit ribosomal RNA", at positions 354 to 796 of the family's 1533-position model. The record is from RNAcentral.
GUGGGGAAUCUUAGACAAUGGGCGCAAGCCUGAUCUAGCCAUGCCGCGUGAGUGAUGAAGGCCCUAGGGUUGUAAAGCUCUUUCAGCUGGGAAGAUAAUGACGGUACCAGCAGAAGAAGCCCCGGCUAACUCCGUGCCAGCAGCCGCGGUAAUACGGAGGGGGCUAGCGUUGUUCGGAAUUACUGGGCGUAAAGCGCGCGUAGGCGGACUGAAAAGUUGGGGGUGAAAUCCCGGGGCUCAACCUCGGAACUGCCUUCAAAACUAUCAGUCUGGAGUUCGAGAGAGGUGAGUGGAAUUCCGAGUGUAGAGGUGAAAUUCGUAGAUAUUCGGAGGAACACCAGUGGCGAAGGCGGCUCACUGGCUCGAUACUGACGCUGAGGUGCGAAAGCGUGGGGAGCAAACAGGAUUAGAAACCCGAGUAGUCC